This 501-nucleotide ribosomal RNA is filed under the name uncultured bacterium. Its description in RNAcentral is "partial 16S ribosomal RNA". It matches the Rfam family "Bacterial small subunit ribosomal RNA", at positions 29 to 523 of the family's 1533-position model. The record is from RNAcentral.
AUUGAACGCUGGCGGCAUGCCUUACACAUGCAAGUCGAACGGCAGCACGGGUGCUUGCACCUGGUGGCGAGUGGCGAACGGGUGAGUAAUACAUCGGAACGUACCUUAUCGUGGGGGAUAACGCAGCGAAAGCUGUGCUAAUACCGCAUACGCCCUGAGGGGGAAAGCGGGGGAUCGCAAGACCUCGCGCGAUUAGAGCGGCCGAUGCCUGAUUAGCUUGUUGGUGGGGUAAAAGCCCACCAAGGCGACGAUCAGUAGCUGGUUGGAGAGGACGAUCAGCCACACUGGGACUGGGACACGGCCCAGACUCCUACGGGAGGCAGCAGUGGGGAAUUUUGGACAAUGGGGGCAACCCUGAUCCAGCAAUGCCGCGUGAGUGAAGAAGGCCUUCGGGUUGUAAAGCUCUUUUGUCAGGGAAGAAACACCGGCUCUAACACAGUCCGGGAAUGACGGUACCUGAAGAAUAAGCACCGGCUAACUACGUGCCAGCCGCCGCAGUAA